This 638-nucleotide ribosomal RNA is filed under the name uncultured bacterium. RNAcentral describes it as "bacterial SSU rRNA". It matches the Rfam family "Bacterial small subunit ribosomal RNA", at positions 60 to 671 of the family's 1533-position model. The record is from RNAcentral.
AGUCGUUGUAAUGAAUUUGAAGUGGACAGAGAACUUGUUCAAAGAAAGCAGAUGAUGAUUUACAACAAUGGCUUUAGUGGCGGACUGGUGAGUAACGCGUAAGCAAUCUGCCUAUUAGAGGGGAAUAACAAUGAGAAAUCAUUGCUAAUACCGCAUAUGCCAUAAGGAUCACAUGAUUCCAGUGGGAAAGGAGCAAUCCGCUAAUAGAUGAGCUUGCGUCUGAUUAGUUAGUUGGUGGGGUAACGGCCUACCAAGACGACGAUCAGUAGCCGGACUGAGAGGUUGAACGGCCACAUUGGGACUGAGAUACGGCCCAGACUCCUACGGGAGGCAGCAGUCGGGAAUAUUGCGCAAUGGAGGAAACUCUGACGCAGUGACGCCGCGUAUAGGAAGAAGGUUUUCGGAUUGUAAACUAUUGUCGUUAGGGAAGAUACAAGACAGUACCUAAGGAGGAAGCUCCGGCUAACUACGUGCCAGCAGCCGCGGUAAUACGUAGGGAGCGAGCGUUAUCCGGAUUUAUUGGGGUGUAAAGGGUGCGUAGACGGACUUACAAGUUAGCUGUGAAAUCCCUCGGCUUAACUGAGGAACUGCAACUAAAACUGUAAGCCUUGAGUGCAGGAGAGGUAAGUGGAAUUCUU